AGGCCAUAUCACGUUGAAAUACUGGUUCUCUUAUGAUCACUAACAUUAAGCAACAUCAGGCAUGGUUAGUACCUAGAUGGGUGACUACUUGGGAAUAUCCAGGUGUUGUAAG
Molecule: non-coding RNA, 112 nt
Organism: Acanthosepion pharaonis
Lineage: Eukaryota; Metazoa; Mollusca; Cephalopoda; Sepiida; Sepiidae
Source: the annotation of a GenBank genome assembly